This 443-nucleotide ribosomal RNA is filed under the name uncultured bacterium. Its description in RNAcentral is "partial 16S ribosomal RNA". It matches the Rfam family "Bacterial small subunit ribosomal RNA", at positions 338 to 795 of the family's 1533-position model. The record is from RNAcentral.
CCUACGGGAGACAGCAGUGGGGAAUAUUGGGCAAUGGGCGCAAGCCUGACCCAGCAACGCCGCGUGAAGGAAGAAGGCUUUCGGGUUGUAAACUUCUUUUAUCAGGGACGAAGCAAGUGACGGUACCUGAUGAAUAAGCCACGGCUAACUAAGUGCCAGCAGCCGCGGUAAUACGUAGGUGGCAAGCGUUAUCCGGAUUUGCUGGGUGUAAAGGGCGUGUAGGCGGGAGUGCAAGACAGAUGUGAAAAAUAUGGGCUCAACCCAUAGCCUGCAUUUGAAACUGUACUUCUAGAGUGAUGGAGAGGCAAGCGGAAUACCGUGUGUAGCGGUGAAAUGCGUAGAUAUUCGGCGGAACACCAGUGGCGAAGGCGGAUUGCUGGACAGUAACUGACGCUGAGGCGCGAAAGCGUGGGGAGCAAACAGGAUUAGAUACCCGAGUAGUG